CCUACGGGAGGCAGCAGUAAGGAAUAUUGGUCAAUGGACGAAAGUCUGAACCAGCCAUGCCGCGUGAAGGAUUAAGGUCCUCUGGAUUGUAAACUUCUUUUAUAGGGGACGAAAAAAAGGGCAUUCUUGCUCUCUUGACGGUACCCUGUGAAUAAGCACCGGCUAACUCCGUGCCAGCAGCCGCGGUAAUACGGAGGGUGCAAGCGUUAUCCGGAUUCACUGGGUUUAAAGGGUGCGUAGGCGGGUAGGUAAGUCAGUGGUGAAAUCUCGGAGCUUAACUCCGAAACUGCCAUUGAUACUAUCUAUCUUGAAUAUUGUGGAGGUUUGCGGAAUAUGUCAUGUAGCGGUGAAAUGCAUAGAUAUGACAUAGAACACCUAUUGCGAAGGCAGCAGGCUACACAUAUAUUGACGCUGAGGCACGAAAGCGUGGGGAUCAAACAGGAUUAGAUACCCUGGUAGUCCACGCCCUAAACCGAUGAUUACUCGACAUACGUGAUACACUAUGUGUGUCUGAGCGAAGCAUUAAGUAAUCCACCUGGAAGUACGUCCGCAAGGAUGAAACUCAAAGGAAUUAGACGG
Molecule: ribosomal RNA, 579 nt
Filed under: uncultured bacterium
Lineage: Bacteria
Description: bacterial SSU rRNA
Rfam family: Bacterial small subunit ribosomal RNA
Source: RNAcentral